Molecule: ribosomal RNA, 253 nt
Filed under: uncultured bacterium
Lineage: Bacteria
Description: partial 16S ribosomal RNA
Rfam family: Bacterial small subunit ribosomal RNA
Source: RNAcentral
UACGUAGGGUCCGAGCGUUAUCCGGAAUUAUUGGGCGUAAAGGGCUCGUAGGCGGUUUGUCGCGUCGGGAGUGAAAACACGGGGCUUAACCCCGUGCCUGCUUCCGAUACGGGCAGACUAGAGGUAUGCAGGGGAGAACGGAAUUCCUGGUGUAGCGGUGAAAUGCGCAGAUAUCAGGAGGAACACCGGUGGCGAAGGCGGUUCUCUGGGCAUUACCUGACGCUGAGGAGCGAAAGUGUGGGGAGCGAACAGG